This 482-nucleotide ribosomal RNA is filed under the name uncultured bacterium. Its description in RNAcentral is "bacterial SSU rRNA". It matches the Rfam family "Bacterial small subunit ribosomal RNA", at positions 33 to 507 of the family's 1533-position model. The record is from RNAcentral.
ACACGCUGGCGGCGUGCCUAAUACAUGCAAGUCGAACGGGAUUCUUUGAUCAGCUUGCUGAGAGAAGGAUCUAGUGGCGGACGGGUGAGUAACGCGUGGGAAUCUGCCUCUUACUGGGGGAUAACAGUGGGAAACUACUGCUAAUACCGCAUAAGAUCUUCGGAUGAAAGGUGCAACUGCACCGGUAAGAGAUGAGCCCGCGUCCCAUUAGCUAGUUGGUGAGGUAAAGGCUCACCAAGGCGACGAUGGGUAGCCGGCCUGAGAGGGUGAACGGCCACACUGGGACUGAGACACGGCCCAGACUCCUACGGGAGGCAGCAGUAGGGAAUCUUCCGCAAUGGGCGCAAGCCUGACGGAGCGACGCCGCGUGAGUGAUGAAGACCUUCGGGUCGUAAAGCUCUGUUCUUGAGGACGAAUAAGCCAGGGAGUGGAAAGCCCUGGUGAUGACUGUACUCAAGGAGAAAGCUCCGGCUAACUACGUG